UGAAUACGAGAUGCUACGGCGUCGAAGCAGUCUAUGUCAUACUUCCAAGAAAAGCUUGCACUGUCAUAAACAAAUAAUGCCUGUACCAUAACCGACACAGGUGGGUAGGUAGAGUAUACUAAGGGGCGCGAGAUAACUCUCUCUAAGGAACUCGGCAAAAUGACUCCGUAACUUCGGGAGAAGGAGUGCCUUAUUUAUAAGGUUGCAAUAACAAGAUCCAAGCAACUGUUUACCAAAAACACAGGUCUCCGCUAAGUCGUAAGACGAUGUAUGGGGGCUGACGCCUGCCCAGUGCCAGAAGGUUAAAGAAGUUGGUUAGCAUCCGCGAAGCUGAUAACUGAAGCCCUGGUGAACGGCGGCCGUAACAAUAACGGUCCUAAGGUAGCGAAAUUCCUUGUCGGGUAAGUUCCGACCCGCACGAAAGGCGUAAUGAUUUGGAUACUGUCUCGGAGAGGGGCUCGGUGAAAUAGACUUGUCUGUGAAGAUGCGGACUACCUGCACCAGGACAGAAAGACCCUAUGAAGCUUUACUGUAACCUGAAAUUGAAAUUGGACUUUACUUGCGCAGUAUAGGUGGGAGGCGUUGAGAAUAUUCUUGCGGGAUUAUUGGAGCCAUCAGUGAGAUACCACUCUUGUAAUGUUAGAUUUCUAACUUUGUAUCAUUAUCUGGUCAAAGAACAGUUUCAGGCGGGCAGUUUGACUGGGGCGGUCGCCUCCUAAACGGUAACGGAGGCGCACAAAGGUUUCCUCUGAACGGGUAGAAAUCGUAUCUAGAGUGUAAAGGCAUAAGGAAGCUUGACUGUGAGACCUACAAGUCGAGCAGGGACGAAAGUCGGUCUUAGUGAUCUGACGGUGCUGAGUGGAAAGGCCGUCACUCAACGGAUAAAAGUUACUCUAAGGAUAACAGGCUGAUCUCCCCCAAGAGUUCACAUCGACGGGGAGGUUUGGCACCUCGAUGUCGGCUCAUCGCAUCCUGGGGCGGUAGUACGUCCCAAGGGUUGGGCUGUUCGCCCAUGAAAGCGGUACGCGAGCUGGGUUCAGAACGUCGUGAGACAGUUCGGUCCAUAUCCGGUGUAGGCGUUAGAAUAUUGAGAGGAGCCUUCUUUAGUACGAGAGGACCGAGAAGGACAUACCUCUGGUGUACCAGUUAUCGUGCCAACGGUAAACGCUGGGUAGCUAUGUGUGGAGUGGAUAACCGCUGAAAGCAUCUAAGUGGGAAGCCCACCUCAAGAUAAGUAUUCUCAC
Molecule: ribosomal RNA, 1244 nt
Filed under: metagenome
Description: bacterial LSU rRNA
Rfam family: Bacterial large subunit ribosomal RNA
Source: RNAcentral